RNAcentral lists this ribosomal RNA (254 nucleotides) under uncultured bacterium. Its description in RNAcentral is "partial 16S ribosomal RNA". It matches the Rfam family "Bacterial small subunit ribosomal RNA", at positions 524 to 776 of the family's 1533-position model. The record is from RNAcentral.
UACAGAGGUGCCAAGCGUUAGGCGGAAUCACUGGGCUUAAAGCGCGUGUAGGCGGGUCGUUAAGUGGCCGGGUGAAAUCCCACGGCUCAACCGUGGAACUGCCGGGCAUACUGGCGAUCUUGAGGCAUUCAGGGGCGAGCGGAACAAAUGGUGGAGCGGUGAAAUGCGUAGAUAUCAUUUGGAACGCCAAUGGUGAAAACAGCUCGCUGGGAAUGAUCUGACGCUGAGACGCGAAAGCCAGGGGAGCAAACGGG